GACGAACGCUGGCGGCGUGCUUAACACAUGCAAGUCGAACGGAAAGGCCCUGCUUUUGUGGGGUGCUCGCGUGGCGAACGGGUGAGUAACACGUGAGUAACCUGCCCUUGACUUUGGGAUAACUUCAGGAAACUGGGGCUAAUACCGGCUAGGAGCUCCUGCUGCAUGGUGGGGGUUGGAACGUUUCGGCGGUUGGGGAUGGACUCGCGGCUUAUCAGCUUGUUGGUGGGGUAGUGGCUUACCAAGGCUUUGACGGGUAGCCGGCCUGAGAGGGUGACCGGCCACAUUGGGACUGAGAUACGGCCCAGACUCCUACGGGAGGCAGCAGUGGGGAAUAUUGCACAAUGGGCGGAAGCCUGAUGCAGCAACGCCGCGUGCGGGAUGAAGGCCUUCGGGUUGUAAACCGCUUUCGCCUGUGACGAAGCGUGAGUGACGGUAAUGGGUAAAGAAGCACCGGCUAACUACGUG
This 468-nucleotide ribosomal RNA is filed under the name uncultured bacterium. RNAcentral's name for it is "partial 16S ribosomal RNA". It matches the Rfam family "Bacterial small subunit ribosomal RNA", at positions 28 to 507 of the family's 1533-position model. The record is from RNAcentral.